This 731-nucleotide ribosomal RNA is filed under the name uncultured archaeon. Its description in RNAcentral is "bacterial SSU rRNA". It matches the Rfam family "Archaeal small subunit ribosomal RNA", at positions 213 to 1225 of the family's 1478-position model. The record is from RNAcentral.
GUCUGCGCCGAUUAGUAGUUGCUGGGGUAACGUCCCAACCAAGCCGAUAAUCGGUACCGGGUUGUGAGAGCAAGAGCCCGAAGAUGGAUUUUUGAGACACGAAUCCAGGUCCUACGGGGCGCGGCAGGCGCGAAAAACUUUACACUGCGCGAAAGCGCGAUAAGGGGACCUCGAGUGCGUGCGCAAUGCGUACGCUUUUCACAUGCCUAAAAAGCAUGUGGAAUAAGAGCCGGGCAAGACCGGUGCCAGCCGCCGCGGUAACACCGGCGGCUCAAGUGGUGGCCGCUAUUAUUGGGCUUAAAGGGUCCGUAGCCGGACCAGUUAGUCCAUUGGGAAAUCUUACGGCUUAACCGUAAGGCUGCCAGUGGAUACUGCUGGUCUUGGGACCGGGAGAGGCAAGAGGUACUUCAGGGGUAGGAGUGAAAUCCUGUAAUCCUUGAGGGACCGCCAGUGGCGAAGGCGUCUUGCUAGAACGGGUCCGACGGUGAGGGACGAAAGCUAGGGGCACGAACCGGAUUAGAUACCCGGGUAGUCCUAGCCGUAAACGAUGCGAGCUAGGUGUCACGUGGAUUGCGAAUCCAUGUGGUGCCGUAGGGAAACCGUGAAGCUCGCCGCCUGGGAAGUACGGCCGCAAGGCUGAAACUUAAAGGAAUUGGCGGGGGAGCACAAGGGCGAAUUCCAGCACACUGGCGGCCGUUACUAGUGGAUCCGAGCUCGGUACCAAGCUUGGC